Amphimedon queenslandica is the source of this 814-nucleotide long non-coding RNA. RefSeq lists it as uncharacterized. The record is from RefSeq and is a predicted model, not a curated record. The transcript is spliced from 7 exons. Lineage: Eukaryota; Metazoa; Porifera; Demospongiae; Haplosclerida; Niphatidae.
AACGAUGGGACGUGUCUUAAGACUGUUAAUAAUCUUGGAAAUGGAAUGCAUUAUGGAAUAAAGUCAAUAGCGCAUCCUGCUAUUAAAGAAACCUUGAUUGGAGUUUGGGGACAAUAUCACAAUAUAUUUAUACUUGAUCCUAAUACACUGGAGUUCAUUUGUGCUUUGAAAUCCUCUCACAAUCCAAACUGGAUAUCACAACUUAUGGAAGGUAAUACGGAAGCUGCAGGUGUGGAGUCUAUCAUUGGUAAGCUUCAUUGAGAGGAAGGUCUGCUGCUCCUGAUUUCAAGUCUCAUUUCACUGGCUCUCUCUCUGACUCAUGGCAGUCCCCAGCCACUUCUUGUUCCCUUAUUGACUCAGUUUAUCCCAGUAUCAGUGCUGGUCCUUCUUCCAAUAUUACUGUUUCUUUAUUUUUGACACAAUUAUGGUCCGUUGAUCUGUGUAUUGUCCAAUGGUGGUAUUAUAGUUCUAUCAGGAACUCAAGCAGCUCCCAAACUCUUACUAGCCAAGAGAAAGUUCUCAAAAGCAUGGUCUCAGUAUUAUUUCUUAAGAGGUCACAAGAGGAGAGUCCCCUCCUGUUGUAUCCUGUGACUAUAGCACUGCUUAUGAUACCAAUCACUUGUUAUCUGGUGGUCCUGAUUUCUCUGUUAGAUUGUGGGACCUCUUCAAAGGAAUAUUGUUCCACACUAUUGCAGUUCAUGGUGGGUGGUCAGUAGCAUUGUAGCAUGUCCUCCUCAUAUUAAUCUCACCUAGACUCCUAGUAUCAUGCCUUCAUGCAUGGAACCUUGACAACUCACUGGACAAGUUAGUGUUA